RNAcentral lists this transfer RNA (71 nucleotides) under Candidatus Woesearchaeota archaeon. RNAcentral's name for it is "tRNA-Gly". It matches the Rfam family "tRNA". Rfam says of the family: Transfer RNA (tRNA) molecules are approximately 80 nucleotides in length. Their secondary structure includes four short double-helical elements and three loops (D, anti-codon, and T loops). The record is from RNAcentral. Lineage: Archaea; Nanobdellati; Candidatus Woesearchaeota.
GCGCUAAUGGUCUAACGGCAUGAUACAAGCUUCCCAAGCUUGGGAUUCGGGUUCAAUUCCCGAUUGGCGCA